AAAACGACUCUCGGCAACGGAUAUCUCGGCUCUCGCAUCGAUGAAGAACGUAGCGAAAUGCGAUACUUGGUGUGAAUUGCAGAAUCCCGUGAACCCUGGAGUCUUUGAACCCAAGGUGCGCCCGAAGCCCUUAGGCCGAGGGCCCGCCUGCCUGGGCGUCCCCC
RNAcentral lists this ribosomal RNA (164 nucleotides) under Diabelia serrata. RNAcentral's name for it is "5.8S ribosomal RNA". It matches the Rfam family "5.8S ribosomal RNA". From Rfam's summary of the family: 5.8S ribosomal RNA (5.8S rRNA) is a component of the large subunit of the eukaryotic ribosome. It is transcribed by RNA polymerase I as part of the 45S precursor that also contains 18S and 28S rRNA. Functionally, it is thought that 5.8S rRNA may be involved in ribosome translocation. Lineage: Eukaryota; Viridiplantae; Streptophyta; Magnoliopsida; Dipsacales; Caprifoliaceae. The record is from RNAcentral.